AUUGAACGCUGGCGGCAUGCCUUACACAUGCAAGUCGAACGGCAGCAUGGAGAGCUUGCUCUCUGAUGGCGAGCGGCGAACGGGUGAGUAAAGCAUCGGAACGUACCGUGUAGUGGGGGAUAACGUAGCGAAAGUUACGCUAAUACCGCAUACGCACUGAGGUGGAAAGCAGGGGAUCGUAAGGCCUUGCGCUAUACGAGCGGCCGAUGUCAGAUUAGCUAGUUGGUAGGGUAAAGGCCUACCAAGGCGACGAUCUGUAGCGGGUCUGAGAGGAUGAGCCGCCACACUGGGACUAGGACACGGCCCAGACUCCUACGGGAGGCAGCAGUGGGGAAUUUUGGACAAUGGGGGCAACCCUGAUCCAGCCAUGCCGCGUGAGUGAAGAAGGCCUUCGGGUUGUAAAGCUCUUUCGGCCGGGAAGAAAUCGCACAGGCUAAUACCCUGUGUGGAUGACGGUACCGGCAUAAGAAGCACCGGCUAACUACGUGCCAGCAGCCGCCGUAA
This 504-nucleotide ribosomal RNA is filed under the name uncultured bacterium. RNAcentral describes it as "partial 16S ribosomal RNA". It matches the Rfam family "Bacterial small subunit ribosomal RNA", at positions 30 to 523 of the family's 1533-position model. The record is from RNAcentral.